CCCAUUGCCGAGUUUUGGCAAGGGACUAUAUUAGGGGUGUCGGCGACGGCCGACUAUGGCGAUAAACCCUGCCCGGAAUAGGCGCGACGGACCCGGGGGCAGUACCCGGCGCCUCCACCAAACACCCCGACUGCGGGGGCGAAACAGGUUCGACGUCGCGCGGUAAAGGGGCAGGUUUCGCCCGGCAUGGUACCGCCGUUAUCGGGCCAACCUUAUAAGUGCCAACGACAAUCGUGUGGCUCUCGCUGCCUAAGCUAUAGGCAAGCGCGGCCGGAGGAGGCCGGGCAACAGAACUCCUCCAGA
Molecule: transfer-messenger RNA, 303 nt
Filed under: Rhodospirillales bacterium
Lineage: Bacteria; Pseudomonadati; Pseudomonadota; Alphaproteobacteria; Rhodospirillales
Rfam family: Alphaproteobacteria transfer-messenger RNA
About the family: Bacterial tmRNA, also known as 10Sa RNA or SsrA, is named for its dual tRNA and mRNA-like properties. Its role is to liberate the mRNA from a stalled ribosome. To accomplish this part of the tmRNA is used as a reading frame that ends in a translation stop signal.
Source: RNAcentral